UAACUCACCACAAAGAACUCAAAAGG
Molecule: non-coding RNA, 26 nt
Filed under: Mus musculus (house mouse)
Lineage: Eukaryota; Metazoa; Chordata; Mammalia; Rodentia; Muridae
Source: RNAcentral